GAUUAAGUUAUUAAGGGCGCACGGUCGAUGCCUUGGCACUAGAAGCCGAAGAAGGACGUUACUAACGACGAUAUGCUUUGGGGAGCUGUAAGUAAGCGUUGAUCCAGAGAUUUCCGAAUGGGGAAACCCAACAUGAGUUAUGUCAUGUUAUCGAUAUGUGAAUACAUAGCAUAUCAGAAGGCAGACCCGGAGAACUGAAACAUCUUAGUACCCGGAGGAAGAGAAAGAAAAAUCGAUUCCCUGAGUAGCGGCGAGCGAAACGGGAAGAGCCCAAACCAACAAGCUUGCUUGUUGGGGUUGUAGGACACUCUAUACGGAGUUACAAAAGUAUAUAUUAGACGAAUCAUCUGGAAAGUUGAAUCAAAGAAGGUAAUAAUCCUGUAGUCGAAAAUAUAUACUCUCUUGAGUGGAUCCUGAGUACGACGGAGCACGUGAAAUUCCGUCGGAAUCUGGGAGGACCAUCUCCUAAGGCUAAAUACUCUCUAGUGACCGAUAGUGAACCAGUACCGUGAGGGAAAGGUGAAAAGUACCCCGGAAGGGGAGUGAAAGAGAACUUGAAACCGUGUGCUUACAAGUAGUCAGAGCCCGUUAAUGGGUGAUGGCGUGCCUUUUGUAGAAUGAACCGGCGAGUUACGAUUUGAUGCAAGGUUAAGCAGUGAAUGUGGAGCCGUAGCGAAAGCGAGUCUGAAUAGGGCGUUGAGUAUUUGGUCGUAGACCCGAAACCAGGUGAUCUACCCUUGGUCAGGUUGAAGUUCAGGUAACACUGAAUGGAGGACCGAACCGACUUACGUUGAAAAGUGAGCGGAUGAACUGAGGGUAGCGGAGAAAUUCCAAUCGAACCUGGAGAUAGCUGGUUCUCUCCGAAAUAGCUUUAGGGCUAGCCUCAAGUGAUGAUUAUUGGAGGUAGAGCACUGUUUGGACGAGGGGCCCUUCUCGGGUUACCGAAUUCAGACAAACUCCGAAUGCCAAUCAAUUUAACUUGGGAGUCAGAACAUGGGUGAUAAGGUCCGUGUUCGAAAGGGAAACAGCCCAGACCACCAGCUAAGGUCCCAAAAUAUAUGUUAAGUGGAAAAGGAUGUGGCGUUGCCCAGACAACUAGGAUGUUGGCUUAGAAGCAGCCAUCAUUUAAAGAGUGCGUAAUAGCUCACUAGUCGAGUGACACUGCGCCGAAAAUGUACCGGGGCUAAACAUAUUACCGAAGCUGUGGAUUGUCCGUAGGACAAUGGUAGGAGAGCGUUCUAAGGGCGUUGAAGCAUGAUCGCAAGGACAUGUGGAGCGCUUAGAAGUGAGAAUGCCGGUGUGAGUAGCGAAAGACGGGUGAGAAUCCCGUCCACCGAUUGACUAAGGUUUCCAGAGGAAGGCUCGUCCGCUCUGGGUUAGUCGGGUCCUAAGCUGAGGCCGACAGGCGUAGGCGAUGGAUAACAGGUUGAUAUUCCUGUACCACCUAGUAUCGUUUUAAUCGAUGGGGGGACGCAGUAGGAUAGGCGAAGCGUGCUAUUGGAUUGCACGUCCAAGCAGUAAGACUGAGUGUUAGGCAAAUCCGGCACUCAUAAGGUCAAGCUGUGAUGGGGAGAGGAAAUUGUUUCCUCGAGUCGUUGAUUUCACACUGCCAAGAAAAGCCUCUAGAUAGAUAACAGGUGCCCGUACCGCAAACCGACACAGGUAGUCAAGAUGAGAAUUCUAAGGUGAGCGAGCGAACUCUCGUUAAGGAACUCGGCAAAAUGACCCCGUAACUUCGGGAGAAGGGGUGCUCUUUAGGGUUAACGCCCAGAAGAGCCGCAGUGAAUAGGCCCAAGCGACUGUUUAUCAAAAACACAGGUCUCUGCUAAACCGUAAGGUGAUGUAUAGGGGCUGACGCCUGCCCGGUGCUGGAAGGUUAAGAGGAGUAGUUAGCUUCUGCGAAGCUACGAAUCGAAGCCCCAGUAAACGGCGGCCGUAACUAUAACGGUCCUAAGGUAGCGAAAUUCCUUGUCGGGUAAGUUCCGACCCGCACGAAAGGCGUAACGAUUUGGGCACUGUCUCAACGAGAGACUCGGUGAAAUCAUAGUACCUGUGAAGAUGCAGGUUACCCGCGACAGGACGGAAAGACCCCGUGGAGCUUUACUGUAGCCUGAUAUUGAAAUUCGGCACAGCUUGUACAGGAUAGGUAGGAGCCUUUGAAACGUGAGCGCUAGCUUACGUGGAGGCAUUGGUGGGAUACUACCCUAGCUGUGUUGGCUUUCUAACCCGCACCACUUAUCGUGGUGGGAGACAGUGUCAGGUGGGCAGUUUGACUGGGGCGGUCGCCUCCUAAAAGGUAACGGAGGCGCUCAAAGGUUCCCUCAGAAUGGUUGGAAAUCAUUCAUAGAGUGUAAAGGCAUAAGGGAGCUUGACUGCGAGACUUACAAGUCGAGCAGGGUCGAAAGACGGACUUAGUGAUCCGGUGGUUCCGCAUGGAAGGGCCAUCGCUCAACGGAUAAAAGCUACCCCGGGGAUAACAGGCUUAUCUCCCCCAAGAGUUCACAUCGACGGGGAGGUUUGGCACCUCGAUGUCGGCUCAUCGCAUCCUGGGGCUGUAGUCGGUCCCAAGGGUUGGGCUGUUCGCCCAUUAAAGCGGUACGCGAGCUGGGUUCAGAACGUCGUGAGACAGUUCGGUCCCUAUCCGUCGUGGGCGUAGGAAAUUUGAGAGGAGCUGUCCUUAGUACGAGAGGACCGGGAUGGACAUACCUCUGGUGUACCAGUUGUCGUGCCAACGGCAUAGCUGGGUAGCUAUGUAUGGACGGGAUAAGUGCUGAAAGCAUCUAAGCAUGAAGCCCCCCUCAAGAUGAGAUUUCCCAACUUCGGUUAUAAGAUCCCUCAAAGAUGAUGAGGUUAAUAGGUUCGAGGUGGAAGCGUGGUGACACGUGGAGCUGACGAAUACUAAUCGAUCGAAGACUUAAUCAA
Molecule: ribosomal RNA, 2922 nt
Filed under: Staphylococcus pasteuri
Lineage: Bacteria; Bacillati; Bacillota; Bacilli; Caryophanales; Staphylococcaceae
Description: 23S ribosomal RNA
Rfam family: Bacterial large subunit ribosomal RNA
Source: RNAcentral